CCUCUCUUUACUCAAUGUUAGGCUGCAAUAUGUGGAGGCCACACAGACAGAGACUAGCAUUGCCAAAGGAAUAACAGGCACCUGAGGACAGCACUAUACAAUCCUCACAGACAUCAGGUACCAGCUUGAGGGCCUGGAAAAUGUGCAAAGAAGAAACAGAGUAAGAAGCCUUGGGGAGAUGGAGGUUCGGGUAGACCUGGGAGAGACUAGAACAGCCCUAUUCAAUUACAUACUAGGCCAACUUGCACGUACCCCGGUCCCUAUGGACAAAGCACAUAGAGCCCUACACCCAUGUUCCAUGACCUCUGGCCCACCAAGUAAUGUUAUUUGCUGCAUUAAAGAAUUCCCUCUUAACGGUGAGUUUAUACAGAAG
Non-coding RNA from Pelobates cultripes (western spadefoot toad), 373 nucleotides. NCBI's taxonomy places the organism in Eukaryota, Metazoa, Chordata, Amphibia, Anura, Pelobatidae. The record is from the annotation of a GenBank genome assembly.